Molecule: ribosomal RNA, 496 nt
Filed under: uncultured bacterium
Lineage: Bacteria
Description: partial 16S ribosomal RNA
Rfam family: Bacterial small subunit ribosomal RNA
Source: RNAcentral
AUGAACGCUGGCGGCGUGCCUAAUACAUGCAGGUCGAGCGAACGGACGAGAAGCUUGCUUUUCUGAUGUUAGCGGCGGACGGGUGAGUAACACGUGGAUAACCUACCUAUAAGACUGGGAUAACUUCGGGAAACCGGAGCUAAUACCGGAUAAUAUUUUGAACCGCAUGGUUCAAAAGUGAAAGACGGUCUUGCUGUCACUUAUAGAUGGAUCCGCGCUGCAUUAGCUAGUUGGUAAGGUAACGGCUUACCAAGGCAACGAUCCAUAGCCGACCUGAGAGGGUGAUCGGCCACACUGGAACUGAGACACGGUCCAGACUCCUACGGGAGGCAGCAGUAGGGAAUCUUCCGCAAUGGGCGAAAGCCUGACGGAGCAACGCCGCGUGAGUGAUGAAGGUCUUCGGAUCGUAAAACUCUGUUAUUAGGGAAGAACAUAUGUGUAAGUAACUGUGCACAUCUUGACGGUACCUAAUCAGAAAGCCACGGCUAACUACGUG